GACGAACGCUGGCGGCGUGCCUAAUACAUGCAAGUUGAGCGAUGAAGAUUGGUGCUUGCACCAAUUUGAAGAGCAGCGAACGGGUGAGUAACGCGUGGGGAAUCUGCCUUUGAGCGGGGGACAACAUUUGGAAACGAAUGCUAAUACCGCAUAACAACUUUAAACAUAAGUUUUAAGUUUGAAAGAUGCAAUUGCAUCACUCAAAGAUGAUCCCGCGUUGUAUUAGCUAGUUAGUGAGGUAAAGGCUCACCAAGGCGAUGAUACAUAGCCGACCUGAGAGGGUGAUCGGCCACAUUGGGACUGAGACACGGCCCAAACUCCUACGGGAGGCAGCAGUAGGGAAUCUUCGGCAAUGGACGAAAGUCUGACCGAGCAACGCCGCGUGAGUGAAGAAGGUUUUCGGAUCGUAAAACUCUGUUGGUAGAGAAGAACGUUGGUGAGAGUGGAAAGCUCAUCAAGUGACGGUAACUACCCAGAAAGGGACGGCUAACUACGU
Molecule: ribosomal RNA, 496 nt
Filed under: uncultured bacterium
Lineage: Bacteria
Description: partial 16S ribosomal RNA
Rfam family: Bacterial small subunit ribosomal RNA
Source: RNAcentral